RNAcentral lists this ribosomal RNA (520 nucleotides) under uncultured microorganism. Its description in RNAcentral is "bacterial SSU rRNA". It matches the Rfam family "Bacterial small subunit ribosomal RNA", at positions 9 to 517 of the family's 1533-position model. The record is from RNAcentral.
GAGUUUGAUCGUGGCUCAGGAUGAACGCUGGCGGCGUGCCUAAUACAUGCAAGUCGAGCGAACGGACGAGAAGCUUGCUUCUCUGGUGUUAGCGGCGGACGGGUGAGUAACACGUGGAUAACCUACCUAUAAGACUGGGAUAACUUCGGGAAACCGGAGCUAAUACCGGAUAAUAUUUUGAACCGCAUGGUUCAAAAGUAAAAGACGGUCUUGCUGUCACUUAUAGAUGGAUCCGCGCUGCAUUAGCUAGUUGUAGGUACGGCUUACCAAGGCAACGAUGCAUAGCCGACCUGAGAGGGUGAUCGGCCACACUGGAACUGAGACACGGUCCAGACUCCUACGGGGGCAGCAGUAGGGAAUCUUCCGCAAUGGGCGAAAGCCUGACGGAGCAACGCCGCGUGAGUGAUGAAGGUCUUCGGAUCGUAAAACUCUGUUAUUAGGGAAGAACAUAUGUGUAAGUAACUGUGCACAUCUUGACGGUACCUAAUCAGAAAGCCACGGCUAACUACGUGCCAGCCCG